UACGUAGGGGGCAAGCGUUGUCCGGAUUUAUUGGGCGUAAAGAGCGUGUAGGCGGUUUGGUAGGUCCGCUGUGAAAACUCGAGGCUCAACCUCGAGACGCCGGUGGAAACCAUCAGGCUAGAGUCCGGAAGAGGAGAGUGGAAUCCCUGGUGUAGCGGUGAAAUGCGCAGAUAUCAGGAAGAACACCCGUGGCGAAGGCGGUUCUCUGGAACGCAACUGACGCUGAGACGCGAAAGCGUGGGGAGCAAACAGG
RNAcentral lists this ribosomal RNA (253 nucleotides) under uncultured bacterium. RNAcentral describes it as "partial 16S ribosomal RNA". It matches the Rfam family "Bacterial small subunit ribosomal RNA", at positions 524 to 776 of the family's 1533-position model. The record is from RNAcentral.